GGUGUCGUACUGCAAUCAAACCUCAAACUCAAACUUUUAAUUGAAAAACCCCUCGACAUCUG
This 62-nucleotide non-coding RNA is filed under the name Cavenderia fasciculata. The record is from Rfam by way of RNAcentral. Lineage: Eukaryota; Evosea; Eumycetozoa; Acytosteliales; Cavenderiaceae.